UUGAACGCUGGCGGCAUGCCUUACACAUGCAAGUCGAACGGUAACAGGUCUUCGGAUGCUGACGAGUGGCGAACGGGUGAGUAAUACAUCGGAACGUGCCCGAUCGUGGGGGAUAACGAGGCGAAAGCUUUGCUAAUACCGCAUACGAUCUACGGAUGAAAGCGGGGGAUCUUCGGACCUCGCGCGGACGGAGCGGCCGAUGGCAGAUUAGGUAGUUGGUGGGAUAAAAGCUUACCAAGCCAACGAUCUGUAGCUGGUCUGAGAGGAUGAUCAGCCACACUGGGACUGAGACACGGCCCAGACUCCUACGGGAGGCAGCAGUGGGGAAUUUUGGACAAUGGGCGAAAGCCUGAUCCAGCCAUGCCGCGUGCAGGAUGAAGGCCUUCGGGUUGUAAACUGCUUUUGUACGGAACGAAAAGCCUCUUUCUAAUAAAGAGGGGUCAUGACGGUACCGUAAGAAUAAGCACCGGCUAACUACGUG
This 481-nucleotide ribosomal RNA is filed under the name uncultured bacterium. Its description in RNAcentral is "partial 16S ribosomal RNA". It matches the Rfam family "Bacterial small subunit ribosomal RNA", at positions 30 to 507 of the family's 1533-position model. The record is from RNAcentral.